UGUAAAAUUUUAAAGGUCGAACAGACCUAAAAUCCUAGCUUCUACACCAAAACUUAAUUUUAAUCCAACAUCGAGGUCGCAAACUUUUUUAUCGAUAAGAACUCUCCAAAAAAAAUUACGCUGUUAUCCCUAAGGUAAUUUAGUCUUAUAAUCCAAAUAAUAGGAUCAAAUAUUCAUAAAUAAAUGUUACAAACAAAAAAAAGUUUAUCAAAUUUUUCCAUCGCCCCAAUGAAAUAUUUGAUUGAAAAUAAAAGAAUAAAUUCAACAACCAAUAAAUUCAACCAAAUAUAAAACUCUAUAGGGUCUUCUCGUCUUUAUAAAAAAUUUAAGCUUUUUCACUUAAAAUUGAAGUUCUAAAUCAUUUAUAUAGAGACAGUUAUUUUCUCAUCAAACCUUUCAUUCCAGCUUUCAAUCAAAAAACUAAUGAUUAUGCUACCUUUGCACAGUCAAAAUACUGCGGCCAUUCAAAAAUCAUUGGGCAGGCCAGACUUUAAAUCAAAAUCAAAAAGAC
This 511-nucleotide ribosomal RNA is filed under the name Pimelia radula radula. RNAcentral describes it as "partial 16S ribosomal RNA". Lineage: Eukaryota; Metazoa; Arthropoda; Insecta; Coleoptera; Tenebrionidae. The record is from RNAcentral.